Long non-coding RNA from Oreochromis aureus, 1154 nucleotides. The record is from Ensembl. Lineage: Eukaryota; Metazoa; Chordata; Actinopteri; Cichliformes; Cichlidae.
CGACACUCGGGCCGUUUAUCAAUGCCCAAGUACGCGAGUACUUACUCGCGUGCUCGGUGAGUACGUACCCGCCGAGAACGCACGGGAGUACGUACCCGCCGAGAACGCGAGCACGGACUCGUGAUUUGUACAGUCGGAACACCAGCGUACGUGAUGAUGUCACAGGUCCGGAGUUUUUACUGCCGUCCCCUCUUAAUGUAACUGUGAGUAACAUGUUAUGAAGCUUAACUUUAAUCACAGCCAAACCGGUUUACUCAGGAACAAAUAAAACACUGAAAUAAACCAAACAUUAACAUUUAGAAGUGAUCUACGUGACUUAUAUAUCAUUUUUAACCUCAGUAGUGAAACCUCUAUUAAUAAAAAUAGUGUACAUGUACAUACGUGUACAUACCUUAAUAAAAACAAGCAGGUGAGAUGUUAGAACGCUUUUAUUUCUAUUCUAGUGGACACUCAAUACUAUAGACAGCUGCUGGGGUUUCUUUAACCUGAGUAGUGAGAAGACCGCGAGCGGGGGGGGGGCGGCGAUGUGCCGGGAGUCCGCUGUUGAGUUUUGGACGAAAUGCAUUCUGGGAUAUAUAGCUGUCCCAAGUCUACACCGAUGCAUGCUCGAUAAAAUGGGCGGAUCGAGAACACAUCCGGGACUUUUUCGCGUUCUCGGCGUGAUGCGUACUUCGAAUUGGAAAAGUACUUGGUCUCCGACUGAUGACGUAUCACGAGUACACGAGAACGCAAGUACGCACAAGUACGCAUAUUGAUAAACGCCCUCGGUCCAGUUUAAGUUCUACUGCUCUCCUAGCUGAUUCUUCUUCUCUUCUACAUUCUUCUUCCUCGCUUAUCAACGAAAAUCACGACGCAUUAGCGCCACCUAUCAGCCAGGAGUGCCAAAUAGUAAACCUCCUUCGCACCUCCACGAGUGCCUGCAAUUGGAUCCUCCUUUAUUUUUCUCCACACGGCGCUUCCCACUCACCGUGACAAGUCCUGUUGCUGAGGUUGGGUUCAUCCUGUAAUCUGUCAUGAACUACUUCCACUGUUUCAAUGGCUGGAGCACAAGUGAAGAGAGAUGUAAGAUCAUAUGAGAAGAAACAUUGCUCCCACUGAAAAUGUUACCGUCAGAUGAACAGAAUCAUCCUUUUGGGAUUUCCAGCAUGUUGUUG